ACCGGGAAUGGAAAGCUGGUUGUCUUGAAAAACCCUGAAGCUGUGUUGCAACUCUUGUUCUUUACUUGUCAAUUAAGCAAGGAAGAUGAAUGGGGAACAAUCGCCAGUAAAUGCUUGAACCAGCAUUUGGGAUACAAAAAGGAACUUGAAGACAGCUUGGACAUGCAGAGUGUGACUUAUGACGAUCACUUAGAAACGGUCGCCUUAGCCUCAGAUGGUAUCUUUGAUGACCUUGGCCUGGUAAGUACUUUUUUCCCGAUAUCCAUUUGUACUUGAAAAUAAAAAUUAAAUGGUUAUCACAUGGGCCCUAUGUUUUAUUGCUUGGGGUCUUUAACAUGGUCUGAUAUUUUUCUUGUAACAUUGCAGAGUGCAAGAGCUAGACAAUGCCUUCGUGCAGCGGGAGUAUUCGAGGAGCAAAAACAAAAAAACAAGGGCAAAUUUGAUUCAAAAAAGGAAGAAAUGAAGAUAGAAAUGAAAAAACUGCAAGACUACCGAGACUAUUACGAGCACAAUGAGGGAUACUACGACGCGUUCAAGCUUCAAAAGAACAAAAAUGAUUUCGAAGCAAAUGUGACAAGGCUUGUGCUUGCAGCCAUAUGGGAUGAGAUUACCGAAAUGCUGAAAAAAUAUGAUCU
RNAcentral lists this long non-coding RNA (635 nucleotides) under Malus domestica (apple). RNAcentral describes it as "long non-coding RNA (MDOM_LNC014305)". The record is from RNAcentral. Lineage: Eukaryota; Viridiplantae; Streptophyta; Magnoliopsida; Rosales; Rosaceae.